This is a small nuclear RNA of Peromyscus maniculatus bairdii (prairie deer mouse), 161 nucleotides long. Its record names the gene U1. It matches the Rfam family "U1 spliceosomal RNA". Rfam says of the family: U1 is a small nuclear RNA (snRNA) component of the spliceosome (involved in pre-mRNA splicing). Its 5' end forms complementary base pairs with the 5' splice junction, thus defining the 5' donor site of an intron. There are significant differences in sequence and secondary structure between metazoan and yeast U1 snRNAs, the latter being much longer (568 nucleotides as compared to 164 nucleotides in human). Lineage: Eukaryota; Metazoa; Chordata; Mammalia; Rodentia; Cricetidae. The record is from Ensembl.
CUACUUCCCUGACAGAGGACACACCAUGAUCAGAAAGGCGGCUUCCCAGGCAAAGCUCAUCCAUUGCAUUCCAGGUGUUCUGACCCCUGCGUUUUCCCCAGACAUGGGAAACUCAACUACACAAUUUGUGGUAGUGGAAAACUGCAUUGGCAUGCUCCCUC